CGUAAGCGCCCGUCUAGCUCAGUUGGUAGAUCACAAGGCUCUUAACCUUGUGGUCGUGGGUUCGAGCCCCACGGUGAGCGC
RNAcentral lists this transfer RNA (81 nucleotides) under Helianthus annuus (common sunflower). Its description in RNAcentral is "tRNA-Lys". It matches the Rfam family "tRNA". From Rfam's summary of the family: Transfer RNA (tRNA) molecules are approximately 80 nucleotides in length. Their secondary structure includes four short double-helical elements and three loops (D, anti-codon, and T loops). Further hydrogen bonds mediate the characteristic L-shaped molecular structure. tRNAs have two regions of fundamental functional importance: the anti-codon, which is responsible for specific mRNA codon recognition, and the 3' end, to which the tRNAs corresponding amino acid is attached (by aminoacyl-tRNA synthetases). tRNAs cope with the degeneracy of the genetic code in two manners: having more than one tRNA (with a specific anti-codon) for a particular amino acid; and 'wobble' base-pairing, i.e. permitting non-standard base-pairing at the 3rd anti-codon position. Lineage: Eukaryota; Viridiplantae; Streptophyta; Magnoliopsida; Asterales; Asteraceae. The record is from RNAcentral.